GUAGGAUAUGGAGAUAUGACGCCUCAUACAUCAUUUGGUAGACUGGUUGGAUCCUUGUGUGCUGUUAUGGGUGUACUCACUAUCGCACUUCCAGUUCCAGUACGUGUCAUUAAC
RNAcentral lists this small RNA (114 nucleotides) under Caenorhabditis brenneri. RNAcentral describes it as "sRNA CBN33990". It matches the Rfam family "Potassium channel RNA editing signal". Rfam says of the family: This family represents a group of sequences related to the human potassium channel Kv1.1 hairpin element which directs the efficient modification of an adenosine to inosine by an adenosine deaminase acting on RNA (ADAR). The ADAR modification causes an isoleucine/valine recoding event which lies in the ion-conducting pore of the potassium channel. The record is from RNAcentral. Lineage: Eukaryota; Metazoa; Nematoda; Chromadorea; Rhabditida; Rhabditidae.